GGGGGCAUGCUAGAGCGGUCAAAUAGGGCAGACUGUAAAUCUGUUGGCUAUGCCUACGGUGGUUCGAAUCCAUCUGCCCCCA
This 82-nucleotide transfer RNA is filed under the name Candidatus Poribacteria bacterium. Its description in RNAcentral is "tRNA-Tyr". It matches the Rfam family "tRNA". From Rfam's summary of the family: Transfer RNA (tRNA) molecules are approximately 80 nucleotides in length. Their secondary structure includes four short double-helical elements and three loops (D, anti-codon, and T loops). The record is from RNAcentral. Lineage: Bacteria; Candidatus Poribacteria.